Molecule: RNA transcript, 1807 nt
Organism: Meriones unguiculatus (Mongolian gerbil)
Lineage: Eukaryota; Metazoa; Chordata; Mammalia; Rodentia; Muridae
Gene: Prcd
Gene name: photoreceptor disc component
Exons: 6
Source: RefSeq, a predicted model, not a curated record
GGGGAGGCAGUUCUGGCAAGGUGAAGGUUAGGCGGGAUCGGGGCGUCAAGGCUGGCGUCUGCCCGCCUGACCACCCACCGGCUAGCGAGGCCACCGCGGUUCCCGCUGGGAGAGGAAACACGGCUGUGGCUUGUGAGAGGUGGCCGGGCAGUGCGGCCCCUCGCCUGCAGCCGCCUUCUGCAGAGUUGGUCUUCGGUGGGGAUGGGGCAGCUGAGCCAUGUGCACCACUCUCUUCCUGCUCAGCUUGGCCAUGCUGUGGCGCCGCAGAUUUACCAACAACCGGGUGGAACCGGAGCCCAGCACAGUGGAUGGGGCAGUUGUGGGGAGCAGCUCCGACACUGACUGUCAAUCUUCUGGCAGAGAGAGAGGACCUGUGAAGUAGGCCUCCACUUCUUCAGGCAGCUCGGCUCUGUGACCCAGCCAGCUGGAGUCCUCGUUCAACCCCUAUCCUGGGAGGAUGCUGUGGGGGCUGGAAGCAAUGGCAGGAGGGAGAAUGGGAGAAGCAGCCACGGAGAAGACCUCAGUUUCCCCACUCAGUAAACAUGGUGAAUCUGCACGGCCUGGUGCUGAGAUGUGAAGAUCUCAUGACCUCCCCAGGAAGGGAAGCAGCUGGAGGAGCUCCAGGGCGGCUUAGACUAUCUCCACCGAGAGAGACUCCGAUGGACUGCGGCCGAGGGUGCUGACAAAGAUGUGCCCACGUGACAAACACUUAUGGAGUGCCUGUGUGCCACAGUGCAAAACCAGAUUCAGAGCACCUGUCAAAUCCAACCAGAAACUGGACAAGACAUAAGAAGCAGGCAUGACAGUGGAGGGCACACAAGACGGUGACCCUGUGACUGUCUCAGCCUCUGCUCAGAAUCAAUCUCUCGUCAGGAAGGAAAACCAGAGCAGGUGAGGAGACAGUGUGACACUCAUGGUGACAUGCAGAAACAGAGGCAGCAAUGGCAAUUCAACAGGGGGCAGAACACACAGAAGGAAAACCAACUGCACUUGAACAAAAGUAAACGUACACACUUGUGAGGACUGGGUGGGAACACUGGCCAAACAAAUGGCCUGGGUGUGGCUCCGGGGUCGAGUGCUGGACGGGCAGUACAAAACUCUAGGUUCAGUCCUCAGCCCCCACCCCAACCCCUGACAAACAAACACCCAAACAAGCUGGGUACUGUGGUGUACUUGCAAGGCAGAAGCAGGGGGAUCCCUGUGAGUUUGAGGGUAGCCUGGUCUACAUAGCAAGCUCCAGGCCAGCCAGGGCUACAUAGUAGGAACCUGUCUCAAAAAACAAGACAAAACAAGCAUCUAAGAAAGACCUCUAUCUGGAAUAGAGAUGGCUCAGAGGUGAAGAGCAUUUGCUGCUCUUGCAGAGGACCAGGGUUCGGGUCCCAGCACUUACAUGGUGUCUCACAACAGUCUGUAACUCCAAUUUCAAGGGAUCUGACACCCUCUUCUGGACUUGGAAGGUUCCCACAUGCAUGUGGGCACAAAGCUCAUACCCACACAUAGAGAAAUAAAUCAAUUUAAAGAGUAGAAUGAAGAACUUUCACAAUUCAGGGGCUGGACAUCUGGCUCAACAGUUGAGCUGCUUUUCCAGGAGACUAGAAUUCUGUUCCCAGUACCCCAAGGCAGCUUACAACUACCUGUAGCCAGUUUCAAGGAUGUGACUUCCUCUUCUGGCCUCUAGGCACUGAACUAACAAUGUGCAUAACCAACCCCACAUACACAAAGAAAAUCUUUCUCUCUCUUUUUUAAAGACUCAUUUAUUUUAUGUACAUGAGUGCUCUAUGCGCAUGUGCGCCUGUGGGCCAGAAGA